Long non-coding RNA from Nerophis ophidion (straightnose pipefish), 598 nucleotides. RefSeq lists it as uncharacterized. Lineage: Eukaryota; Metazoa; Chordata; Actinopteri; Syngnathiformes; Syngnathidae. The record is from RefSeq and is a predicted model, not a curated record. The transcript has 5 exons.
CUGCUUGAUGGCAACGUGAACUAAAAGCCAAGCUUGUGCGCAUGCGUGCUGAAGUACUUCCUUUCCAGUCCAGCAAGCAUGACUAAGAGCGAAGAUUUGAAUUGGAAAUCGAACUAUUUCACUGCAAAGAAAACCAUCGACGUCCAUAAAGAUUCAGAAAUUGGAGACAGUGGAGGAACUAUUCGACCUUGACGAGUUGAUAAAAACUCAACCAAGCAAGAAAGAUUUGCUGACAGCCAGGCUCUCAAAGAUUGGUGGAUAUGACUUAAAGAGCUGUUUAAGCACCAUCAUGGACAGGCUCAUGACAAAUGAAUUAAUGUCCAAUCUGAACAUGAAGGGGAGAGGGGGAAAAAAAUAGCUUUGCCGAGAGAAGCUGCUCUAUUUAGUCGCAGCUAGUGUCUUGGAUACCCAGAAGGGGACCGAAACGAUGGUCCAUGAUGCCAUAAAAAAUAAACUGAAAUAUGCCCCUGGACGGAAGGGAGGAAUAGAAUGGGCAUCACAGGCUAAAUAAAUAAUUAUAUCGAUUGACAUUCUCCAUUUUCUUUGUACUUAAUGCAAAAUUAAAAUUAACAGGAUUCAGCCUGGAGCUAUAUAUGCA